CCUAAUUUUUUUUUGUAUGUUUUAUAGACACAAAAAAAAUAACAUGGUUUAGCCAUGUUGCCCAGGGUAGUCUCAAACUCCUGAGUUAAGGUGAUCUUCAUCACUUUCUUAUCUCUUUCUCCACCAAGUCUUCAAGGAGUUUCCAUUCUAAGUUGCUCCUUCACUCCCAGAACUGGUGCCUUUGUAUAAUUUCCGUCUCUGCUAGUUUGCACUCUGAGCUUUGUGCAGGUCUCAGAUCUGUUCACCUUAUUUCCCUGCUGAGGAGGGGCGUUCUCUGUAGAACAUUAUUCUAUUUGUGUCUCAUCACUGGGCUUCUGCUUCCUUUUACUUUUCUGCUGUCUUUAUCUGACUUUCUGCUCUGGAGUGAUCUAAGAGCGGGUUCUGCUGGAUUUGAGUAAUUUUUUUCUUCUGCUUAUGUGUAAUCUGAGGUUGUUGUGUUCUCUUUUUCCUAGUUAUGAUAUAAAUCUGUGUAAACAUUUUUAUAGUUUCUCCUUGUUUUAUCCUUAUAUUGUUUUUGAAGGAUGCAUGGGGAGAUUAAGAUUUAGAUGGCUUUCAUUAUCCUGUUGAAACCAGGAUUAGAUUCUUCAGAUCCUAUCUGGAUGUGAAGCAAACAGAACACUGCCUAUUUCCUUCUCAGUGGAUUCUUUUUGUUUGUUUUUUGAGAUGGAGUCUCGCUCUGUCACCAGGCUGGAGUGCAGUGCAGCAAUCUUCGCUCAGUAGCGGGGACUACGGGCGUGCACCACCACAACCGGCUAAUUUUUGUACGUUUAGUAGAGGCAGGGUUUCACCAUGUCUGGCCACCAGGUUUGGCCAGGAUGGUCUCUAUCUUCUGACCUUGUGAUCUACCUGCCUCGGCCUCCCAAAGUGCUGGGAUUACAGGCACAAGCUUUGCUUUCCUUCUAUAGGCGUCUUAAUUCUUCCUUAAGAAAGAUAAAUGCAGUUGAUUAACGUUGGAGAUGUCAUAGGAUAAAUUAUUAUUACGCUGUAAAGUUACCCUCUCUUAGACUGGUGGCACUAAGGGUUGUCAGAUGUAGAAAGUGAAAAUAGAUGUUAAUUUGAAUUUCAGAUAAGCAGUGAAUAACUUUUUAGUAUAAAUAUGUCCCAUCCAAUAUAUGGGAUCUACUUAAACUAAAAAAGUUUUUCUUCUUUAUCUGAAAUUCAAAUUUAACUGGGGGCUUUUGUAUUUUAUCUAGCAGCUCUCCUUUAGGGAAAGAAAUGUUUGUUACCGUUUUUCACAGUCCACGUGGUACCUAGUAUGAUACCUGGGAUGGUGCUGAGCAAAAAGCAUGUGCAAAAUGUUUGUUGAAUUAAUGCUACAAAUUUAAUUUAAUAAGAAACUUCAUAAUCAUAAUGUUAUUUUCUAAUGAAAUGUGAGGAUAACAACAAAAAUGUUCAGUGCAGUUCUAUUCAAUCUCAUUUCCAGUUGGACUAAGACAUUUAUUUUUUUCAGUUAUAUGAAUUGAUGUUCUACUUAAUGGUGUUCUUCAUGUUUGAUUUUUCAAAAAACCUUUAAAAAUUCUGCUACCUUAAACUGUCAUAUAUAUAUAUGAGAGCUCGAUCAUAUAUUGCUAGAUAAGUGGAGUGAAAGUUAGAUUGAUAAAAUGCAGCAAUCACAAAAGCUAAGGAAUAACCGUAUUUCAGACAGUGUCUUUUUUUUCUACCCUACAAUCAUACUUCAUUAUUACCUGCUUUAUAUCCCUACGUUUACGUUUAUGUAGCUCUGGUGGAGAUGACCUAAUCUCGGAGAAGGUAAACUGUCUCCUAGCCCUAGGGAAUAAAUGGGAUGAAGAAAGAGGUAUACCAGUGACCCAGUUUUAGCCAAUAACAACUACUGAUGAAGCUGAUACUGAGGAAUUUCUUUCUCUUAGGAGAGAAUGUCUUUUGUGACGUCUUUCCCUCUGCUUGGGAUUCUGAUGAGGGAUAUCAUACAAGGAGCUGUGGCAGUUAUCUUGAAAUCAGGAGGCACUUUCAGAGGAAAAUGGGCCAACAGCUGAGUCUGGUGGCGGCGAACAUAGUCUGGUUCCAUAAUGAGUUCAUUAACUCGGAGUCACCAACUUUCAGAUUAACUGGAUGAUAAUUAAAUGCCUUUUCUGAGAAUGGUUAAUUGGGGCUUUUUUUUCCUUGCAGCUAAAAACAUUCCAAGCUAUGAAUAGUACAAACUUAUCACUAGAAAGUAACUUAAGGAAUUUAUACGUUAAACGAAUCCUUGUAAAGGAAGUGUUAUUUUUUGUUUGUCUUGGUUAGAAUCUUUGGAGUACUGUGAUCUGUCACUUUAUUGUUCACUGUGCCCUUUCUUCCAUUUUAAUGAAAAAUAAGGUGUUGGAGAAUAAAGUGGGAAGGGCUGCGUUUUGCUGCCAUGUCCGAUGAGCAGCUUUUAGGGUCUCUGUAAGUCCAACUUAACAUCUUUCAAUAUCUUUCUCCACUUUUUCCACCAUGGAAAGCCCUACUCUAAAUGAUCAGUGAAAACAUACCACUGUCAGACAUGAGGACGUUUUGGACUUUGACUGUCUAAGGUGUUUAUCUUAGUUAUCCAUGAAGAGCUUACUAAUUAGAAAGGAAAGACAACGUGCUUGGAAAACCAUGUUCUAAAAUAUGUACGUGGGCUGCAGAAUGUGGCUGUGGAAAGCUGCUACCCCAGUGUUGAACUUAAUUGUGUUAACAUUAUUCCUUUCAUUAAUGAAUGGAAAAAAAUGUGGUUUAGGCUCCAGAAACAGCAUUCCAGUUUACCUUGAAUAUGCCACUGUAAGAGAUUAGGAGUUGCUAUAGAGAAAGUUCAGUGUCCUUGCUCUAUACAUGAAGAUGCGUCGCUGUGUGGAUGGUGACUUUUCUGGAAUUACUAUUUUUAUCUAACAAGAAAUUCUGUUGGAUGCUAUUAAAGCAAGUUGCUUGGUUAAAUUCUUGAAAGGAUUCGACAUUUUUUGUUAAUAAGAAAAACAUUUGCAAUUACGCUUGCUAGUGGAGGAUAAAAACGAGUUCGUUUUCUUGCUCAUUAUACUCCAGGGUCUGGAGAGAAUCUCUCCAGGUCGAAGAGGCAAUCUUCUCUGUAGGUUCCUUUAUUGAGUGGCUAAUCAAAUGCAUUGUGGGAUCCUUCAUCUUUUCUGAAAGCUUCUGCUGCUUGCCACUGUGCAAGAAGUCCUGGACAUAUUAUUGGCCUGUCCAAGCAAAAUGUUUCAUUUUCCUUGUAAGCAACUUUGUAGAUUUUAUACUAGUUUACAUCUUCAAGUGGACAAUAAAAGCAAAGAUGUCAGGUAGAUUCCAACAAUUAUUUUUACUGAGUCUAGAAGGAAUGAUAUUGAAGCACGCUUUUUAGUGGCUAUCAGUAUUCAUUUUGCUGAUUGUCAGAAGUGAGACUGUUUUUGCUUUGCCCUGUAAGUAGAUUCAUUUUUCUGUGGAUACAUCACAGCAAUAGCAUAUUAUCAUACUUUUGAAACAUCACACAUAUCACAGUGUGGAUCGUUUUUGUCAUAAGUAGUUUUAUUUGUUUUUAAUUUUGUAUUUGAAAUGUGGAAAUGUGUUUUGUUUUGCUUUUAAAUUUUAAAUGACAGUAGGUUGGGGGCCUCAAUUUUGCUCUAACUUGCUCUUCCAUGGUCAGAGUUUAUUGCCUGAUGCCUAUAAAAGCCUCUUUCCAAAAUGAAGUUUCAGUGUUCAUUGAAUAAAUGUCAGCUCACUAACAGAAAAACUGUAAAGAACUCAGGGUAUAAAUUUAAUAACACAUUUCCCUUAAUGUCAUCCAAGGUCUCUCUUUUAUUUUCUUCAUAACUAUUACCGUGAUCUCUAAUUAUAGUUUGUCUUAUUUGCCUACUUAUUUAUUAUGCAUCUGCCCAAAUUUGAAUAUCACCUUUACGAAGACUAGAUCAUGUGUUUUCUCAUUCCAUAAUAUAGACUUAGUGUCUAAAAGGCAUUUAAUAUGUACGGUUGGAAAUUUUUAAAAAUGAACACACACACACAGGCGAAUAAAUACAUGUUUCGACAGUUUACAGAUGUAAAAUUAAUGUAACUGUCAUUACUCUAACUAUUAUGGGAUAAGCCAUCAUGCAAUAGAUACAUGUCCUUCAGAAGGACUUUUAGAUAACUCAACUAUGACAGACAUUAAUAACUAAAUCCUACACAUCAGAUUGAAAAUUCUCCCAGUGUUCACAUGAAUGAAAAAGCCCAUAUUAACAUCUAUGUCAGUCACUCCUUCAAAUGCCUUUAUCCCCAGUGGACAUCUGACUACAAAGUAUGGGAGGCCCCAAGUGAAAACCACACAGCUCAUCCUACUCAACCCAUAGAAUUGUGAAUGGUAAUAAUAAAUUAUUGUUUCUGGCCAUUACAUUUUGGGAUAGUUGGCUUGUGCAAUAUAGGAAAAACAGAAAGUUGGUAAUAUAAACUUCAACUAUUGAUACUGAGUUAUAUUCCUUUUCUAAGCAGCACACCUUUAUUUGAGAUCAUUAUGUGUAUUAGACAUGCCCUUUGAUUAUAUAAAAACAUAAAGAUGAGUUAUACUGAAAGAAGUUGUGUCACUAGGAAAAAGAAAGAUUUGCAAGAAAGCAAAGUUGAAUUCAAAUUUUGUCUGCAACCAGUUAAGGUGCAUGUGGGUCUUAAGAAACCCUACCUCUUCUGCUACAGUUGCUUGAUUUUAUACUCCGCCCUGGUUUCCAAGCUUCCUUACCACAGUCCCUUUACAUUUCUUAUAGAAAUAAAUGUAUUUUGGAUAAUAACUUAUUAGAGGUCAUGGUGAAAAUCCUUUAGAACCAUUAGAAUAUUCAAAAAGUUGAGCCUGAAGUCUCAUAGAUCUGGAGAGGAGCAAGGUCAAAAAAUCUGAAAAGACCCAUUUGAAAUUCUGCAUCCCCCUUAUUUGUAGAUACAAUUUCAAUACACUAAGAAGUCUUUUUUGUCUUUUAAGUUAACUACCUUAGCACCUUAAUUUGAGACAGAAAUCAGGGGGACCACUGUUAAUGUUUAAUACCAAAUGUCUGCUGCUGUCUGAUGAGUUUAAACAGGUUAAACUUGUAUUUUACUAGGAAAUUCCAAGUGGUUCCUAUUCUUGGAGGGACCAAGACCAUGUAAUGAUCAUGUGCCCAUCACUUGAAUGUGCACAGCUUUGUUGUUUUGUGCAUUUGAUCCUCUCCAUCCCUCGGUGUCCUCCUCUUUUCAUAUGUAUACCACCUGUGUGACUUAGCUUUGAAAAUAUCCUUUGAAAGCAUCUUAGCUGUGGAAGUUUUAGGGGUUGACUUAAGGAAGCUGAAGUGGCUUUUACUGUUUAGAAUUUCUGCAGAGUCCUGGAAAGAGAUGUAGCCUUCAGUAAAAAUCUGUGAGAAAUUGAAAUGUGAUAGAACUUAGAGAGCAAAUUUAUGUAUUAUUUUUCUAUUUAUUUGUCUUUCUGUUCAUCCAUUCGUUCAUUCAUUCAUCCAUCCAUUGAAAAGAUAAUGAUUAUGUUGUCAAAAGCUGAGUGCAGAAUGAAUGAAGGUUUGGAGGAAUAUUAUGUAAAUAUAUCCCUGUGCAGCUUGAUUUGUUCAACUGAAAAAUGGAUGGUUUUCAGUUGCCAUUAUAUUUCAUGAGAUUACUUUAGUCAUUUAUGAAGCAAUGUAAAUGAAGAAAGGUAACAUAUUAAUAAAGUUGUUUUUUAGUAUUUUUGAAUGAUGUUUAAAUUUCCUCUCCUUGACCUUAUAUGUCUCCAACACUAGAAAAAAAAUUAUUUCCUAUAAUGUUUUCUCAACUUUCUUUUUGUGACUUUGAAGAAAUAAAAAUAGUGGGAACUGAAGGCAGUUGGUUGUGCUUAUCCAAGCCACACCACAUUCUAUUCACUUUUUAAAAAGGAAAAGGUGCUCCAUUCUAUGAGCACCGCUUCCUGAGACCUCUGAAUAAAGAGGAGGCAGAGGUUUCUGAGCAGAUUUAUGCUUGCGGAAUUUUGCAAAUAAUAUAAACAAAAAAUUACAUUUUAGGAAAUAAUGGGAGUUGCUUACUGCUCAUGUUUCCAUAAUUAUUAAAUAAUGCAAUUCAGUUGCUUCUAAAAUUCAUUUUUAUGAGCUCCAGCAUAGGAAUUGUUUCUUGGCAUAUAAACACUUAAGAAAAACAUUUUAAUUGAGAUCCUUCAUAAGCAAACACAAUUAACUAAUUUACUAAUUGUACAAUUUGUGGGAGAGAGUAAUGUGUUAAGAAAUAUUUGAUUUUUGAUUCAUAGCCAGGAAGAAAGUCAUUUGGCAAAACUGAAUUUCCCCUCAACUUACAGUAGAAUUGUUGCAUGACCUAAAAAGGAUAACAAUAUUCAAAUUGAGCCAUAUACCAAAACCAGAGGAAAGUUGAACAAUAUUCACUCUGCCAUGCCUUGUUGUUCCAAGGGAAACAAACUUCUGCAUCCCUGAGCUCCUCCCUCGACAGUAGAGAUUUCCCACCAGACUUACAAGCUCACCUCUUGCUAUGUUACAUCUCUCUGACUACUUCUGCCAGGAGGAUUGAACAUUGUUAGUGGCAUAUUAGAAUAAUCAGCAACCCCAAAUGAAUGUCUUCUCUUCUCGCAUAAUUCCCUCUGAAGGCUUCAGUCCCUGCACAUUUCCUGUGUUCUUUCUUAUACCUUUACAUUGGCAGAGUUGAAUAAGCGGGUGCCCUAUUAUGAGUCAAUGUGCAAAAGAUGAAGAUUUCUAGAUCUUAUUUUCACUUUCUUUAUUACCUGUUUUAUAUGCAUAUAUAUAUAUGGAAAUAUAUAUAUAUGGAAAUGCAUAUAUAUAUAUAUAUAUAUGGAAAGAGAUUUAUCAUGAAGGAUGGGUUUAUGUGAUAAUAGAGGCUGAGAAGUCUCAUGAUCUGAUAUCUGCAAGAUGGAAGCCUCGGAAAGCCAUUAGUUCUAGUCUAAGCCCAGAAGGCACAAGAACCUGGAGAACCAAUGGUGUAAGUCCCAGUCUGAGUCAGAAGACAGGAGAAGCAGGAGCACCAGUGCCCAAGGGCAGGAGAAGAUGAAUGUCUUAGCUCAAGCAGAGAAAGCAAAUCCACUCUUCUGACUUUUUUUGUAUUCUGACACUCAACAGAUCAGAUGAUGCCCACCCACAUUGUGUGGACAGUUUUCUCUUACUCCAUCUAUUCAAAUGCUACUCCCUUCGGGAAGCAUGUGAACAGACACAUCCAGAAAUACUAUUUACCAGCUAUCUGAGUAUUCCUAAACCCAGUCAAGUAACACAUAAAAUUAAUCGUCAUGGCCUCUCAAAAAAUAUUGAUUUAUGAAUUAUUGAGUAUUUUUGUUAUGAACAUUAAUGAUUAUAAAGAUAUAAUAAUAUAGCCCAAGUGGCUUGUAAUUUCACUAGGAAGGUAAAACACAUAUAUAACCAAAGAUGACUAAUACGAAGAGCAGUGGAUGGGUGAGCAGAAAAACACUGGGCUUUCGUUGAAAAGAAUGUUCAGUUGAAUGCCCAGGGAUCUUAGAAUUUGCUUUAGAAUCAUGUAUUAGACAAAUUUAGGUGUUCUCAUUGCCUUUCAUCCCCCAGUUACACAGCCAACUCCCAGAUAAGCAGCUUCAACUUGGGGCACUGAUUUUCUCCUGCCUUUCUGGUUUGGCCAACUUCCCUCAGAUUGAUAACCUUGAAUAUUAGUGAGCUUUUGUUGCGUAAGAAACCACGCCCUGCGCACCUAUCCAGCCUCAAUUCUUCCCGUUUUUCUCAUCUCCCACCUCACCUUUUAUAACCUGUAUUCUCUUGCUAUAUUGACUUUCCUUAAACACUCCAGUCUCUCUAUGAUUAUUUUGUACUUUUACCCUCAUCCCCCACUUGCCAUUUGGCUAGUCAGCUUGUAUUAGAGGCUCAGUUUAAAUGUUAUUUUCUCUAGAAAGUGCUCUUAGCCUACCUAUACUUUCCCCUAAUUGGGUUUCAUGUUCCCACAAUAUCCUGGCAACCUGUGUUAAUAAUACCUAACAUGUAUUGUUAAAGGGCAAGUCGGGGAUGGAGAGGAUAUGUUCCAUCUUGGUAAAGGAAUGGACUGACCAUAAUGUACCACUGGGUCCACUUUCUGUACCUCAUGGACAAUUUUUUGGAAUUGCUUGUCUGUCGCAUGGACUGGACUUCAGGUACCUAACAAUAGGGACAGUGUCAUGCCAGUAUGGUGACUGGAAUGUAGUAAGUGAGAAGGAAAAAUGACAAUAGAGAUGGAGGCAAUGGUUUCAGACCUAGAUUUCUGAAACCUGACUCAGUUUUUUGAACUGAGAUAUUUGAGAUUGGUGUGAACCCUGGAAGCUCCAGAGAGCACUACAUAUAAAAGAUAAGCUUGUUCUUGGUGCUGCAGAAAUACCCACUAAGUUUUAGGAGCAUUAGUUACUGUUGAGCACCAAGGCCUGGUAAUAGAGUGGAAAGCAGUUCUCCAAACACUAAUAUGAGACUUGUAAAGAUUCCUUAAAGGGAGACCUUUAAGGCUUGUUGAUUUAUUGAUAUUUAUUUUGUUAAGUAGUUUUAAGACUAAAUGGUUUCUAACGCAAGAUGGGUCAAGUUUGGAAAGAUUCAAAGAGGGUCACAAAAUGUACAAAUGAGAAAUGCCAUCCACUUAACGAAAUCUAAAGACCGUCUAGUUAGACUUUGACUGCUGUGCUUUGAUUUCUUAAUCCUCAAUUAUGAGUAGAAUUUUGGAAAUGGAUUUAUUCUGCUUUCUUCUCUAUAAGCCUAUCUUGUACACCACAGCUGCCUUCUCCCAACCUCCACUAUUUGCUGAUGUUCUCUUGGCGUUAUGUCUGGUGCUCUAACAUUUUCUAACUGAGAAAUGAUCUGAUGUCAAGAUUCUAUCAUAGUAGUUGGGAACCAUGGUUCUAGCAGAGGUGGAAUAGUGGUAUAAAUGUGUGGAGUAAAAAGGAUGAUUCAUAGGAGACCGAAACUUUCAACCAGUAUACCAAAAGGCAAUUACACGCUGUUUCCUACUUGUGCACCCCAUCCCCAGGCCCUGUUCCCCAGCUCUGGCUCACAACCUCAAAUGUAAAAUAAUUCAGGUCAUCCCAACUAACCUUACUAAUGAUUAAUUGCCCUUUCAAGUUUGCCUGAUCUGUCUCUCCAAUGAAGAAAACCAUCGUCUUUUUAUUUUAUCAUAAUUGAUCUCCUUUUUUAGUUUUUUGAAAAAAAGCUAAAAUGUUCUUCCCUAACUCUUAGGAAUACUGAUGCCCCUAUAUAGGUGCUGCCAUCAGUAGUAGCAUGAUCGUAAUAAGAGCAACCAAUUGUUAUGUACUUUAUCUUUUUUAUAGCAAUUGUCUGUGUUCAAACUACAGAUGAGGUUUUAAGAAUUUAGGUGAGUUGACACUCAACUCUCCUCUGCCUGAUUCCCUUUAGCUCACAUCCUUAGCUGCUCUGCUGAAUUUGGUGGUGUUAAAAUGUAUUGGGCCUCCGUGGGAUUUCCGGUUAAUCCACAGACUGAAUAAUCAUCCUGUGAAUAAUUGGACAGAGCAUCUAUUUUGUCUUGGGGGCAGUUGUGUAUGUAUGUGAUAACCAAGGAUUUGAAAUUCACCAAAUUGACUCAUAAGUAUUGUAAUAAACAUCUUAGGACUUAACUACCUUGAUUUAUAUUUCUAAGAAUUUUAAAGGCACCUGCAGUUUUGGAGGCACAGAAUCUGUACUUCAUAAAACCCAAGAAGAACACAUCAAUUUAUGGUCUUCCUUGCACAUGUCAAAUGUUCAUUUAUAAAACGUAAUCUUGAGAAGGAAAGUUUAAAGAAGGUCUCCACCAAAAAAAAAAGUAAAAGGGAGUGAAAUGAUUGUCUGAAACUGCAAAGAGAACCAAGUACUGAGAAGCAGAUGUCAGACCCAUUGGAAGGCAUGACUUAAUCAGAAAUAGAUCAGGACUAACCAUAGCGGGCUGUUUCCAGUGGUACCCUGGAUUGGCCUUCUUUAAGUCAUGAACAUUGAUUGUUACACGUUUAGAAAUUUUGCAGUUGUGGUGGUUUAAUACUAAUCAUGAUGUGAAUAUUUACACUGGAAAUUGGGAAACACUACACAUAAGGGCUAUUUUUUAAAGCAGGGGUCCCCAAGCCCUGGCUGUGGACCAGUACUGGUUGUGGCCUGUUGAGAAGUGGCCUGCACAGCAGGAGGUCAGUGGCGGGUGAGCAUUACCUCUGGAGCUCCUGUCAGAUCAGCAGUGCCCUUACAUUCCCAGAGGAGCAUGGACCCUGUUGUGAACUGUGCAUGUGAGGGAUCUAGGUUGCAUGCUCCUUAUGAGACUUCAACUAAUGCCCAAUGAUCUGAGGUGGAAUAGUUUCCUCCUAAAGCCACCUCCCCACCACCACGUUGGUGGAAAAAUUAUCUUCCACAAAACCAGUUCCUGGUGUCAGAAAGAUUGGGGACCACUGUUUUAAAGAACUGAUUUACCAGCACUUUAUUGCCUUUUUAAUAAAGAAGUCAACUUCCUGUUGCUAAAAGUUUUCAAAUAUAAACCUGGUGCUUCUAGAAAGAUAUGAUACAAUAAAUGGAAUAAGGGGAAUACAUUCCACUUUAUCCCUGGAAGUACUCAUCAUGGUGCUUAGGCCAGAGUGAUUUCUGUUAUUUGAGUUUCUUUACUGGAACCUUUCUCCAGCACCCGUGGCUUGUCUACUCCUUAUCCACCUUUAUCUGAAUUUGCUUGUGUUUGGCCCUCCUCUAAGCCCUUUCUGUUUUAGUUUUAACACAAGAGUUACCUAGUUCUAUGCUCUGGUGUCAGACUGCUUAGAUUUGAAUCCUAAUUUCACAUUAGCCAGCUGUUUGAAUUCUGGAAGGUUACCUAGGCUGAUUAAGUCUCAUUUUCUUUAUCUGUUAAAAGCAGAUGACAAAAGUACCUCUCACAAAUGGUUGUUCUAAAUUUUAAAUGAUGGUAAUCCAUGUAAGGUGAUUAGUAAAAUGCUUGGCCAUGGUAAGGACCUCGUAAAUGUUAGUUAUAUUUUCAUUUAAGGAAUAUCAAUUUUUUUUAACUUCUAACAACUCUUGAACUCCAAAUUUUACAAAGAAUUUCAAGUAUAUGUACACUUUACCUAGUUGACUAUAUAUGAUUCUUCAUUUGUCUGUAAAGCAGGUUUUUGUAUAUUUAAUUUUAUUUUCUUGUUAAUGUUGUAUAGUCAGAGAUGAAGUCUUGUAAGCCACUGUGUCAGUAAUAAUGAACAAUAGAUGUUUUCAUUCUUAGCAGAAUAUUGACAGGAUUUGAAUUGGCAGUUCACUGGAGACCCUCAGAACUUAGAGAAAUUUAAAAAAUAUAAUACCAAAGGCCCGCCACCUACCCUCAUCAGCACCUCCCACCUCAGUCUGAAGAAAAUGAUGAUGAGAACAAAGGUGUUUAUUUGGGGUAUAAACUGUCUUUCAUUGAACUGUGAGAUGUUUAUGAAGACCCAAAAGAAGUGGACAUACCCAGAGUGGUUUAUGAGUAGAAUAGUUCAUAACCCUGGUAUAGAAAAGGCCAUUUCUUGAACUCACAGAAAAACGUCCUUAAAAUUUCAUUCCAAAAAAAAAAAAAAUA
Long non-coding RNA from Sapajus apella (tufted capuchin), 11415 nucleotides. RefSeq lists it as uncharacterized. Lineage: Eukaryota; Metazoa; Chordata; Mammalia; Primates; Cebidae. The record is from RefSeq and is a predicted model, not a curated record. The transcript is spliced from 2 exons.